CGAUCUCCGCUCACUGCAAGCUCCGCCUCCAGGGUUCACGUCGUUCUCCUGCCUCAGCCUCCCGAGUAGCUGGGACUACAGGGACCCGCCACCACGCCCGGCUAAUUUUUUUGUAUUUUUAGUAGAGACGGGGUUUCACCGUGUUAGCCAGGAUGGUCUCGAUCUCCUGACCUCCUGAUCCGCCCGCCUCGGCCUCCCAAAGUGCUGGGAUUACAGGCGUGAGCCACCGCGCCCGGCCGGUACUCCGAAGCCCUCAGAUCGGCGACCUGGGCGCUGUAGCCACCGAGAAAAUACGGGCACCGAGCCAGGAGCAGUGCCGCAACCAAGAGACCUCGGCUCGGCGAAAUGGCGGCGUCUGGAGCCUGCCAGUGACGCCAGCCGGUGGGGCUGUGAAGGAGAACAUUCGUUACGGCGCAAACAACGGCACUGUCACCAAGAAACCGUCGUCUCUGAGAAAAAAAGAGACGUUCGGCCGCUGAGAAACUCCGUACAAGUGCUGUGACAGAAAAACCGCCGGCUCCGCCCAGCUGGCAAAAGAGCCAACGGGAACGCCGGGUGCUCCGACCAUGACCCCGGCACUGGAGGACGUGGGAUGGAGAAUGGGACACACGCAGCGAGAAGGGAAACGUUUCGUGCAGACCAACUAGCGCCGCCGCCACUGGAAAACUGACCCGCCAGUGCUGCCAAUGAAGUGCGUGUGAGAAACCCAAGAUUGGUGGGAGGAGCGGCGCUGGGCGCUGGACCCGCGAGUGCGAGAAUCUGGCGGCGCUAGGACCCUCCAGGCGCGGGCACGAGGCCAAAGCCAGCGCUGUUGCCAAAGACAAAUGCCCGUUCUUUUGGGGCGCCAUCAAAGGUGCAGCCAGCGAUCACUCCCAGGCUCUGAGAAACUAGAGAUGUCAGCCACAAACCCUCGGUUCAGGGAAAGGUGCGGCGCCGUGACGGAUCGACUGGCACUGGGUGCAACAUUCUCUUGUGGCCUAGAGACUAGAAUAUAAAAACAAAAACCAAAUACAAGACUGCUGCUGGCAUUUCUCCUACUCUCCCCCCUCAAGUCAGUGGCUUCAGGCUUAAGAAAACCUGUAUUUUUCUUGGCUGUGCCAUAAUCCGUAAUUACCGAGGCCCCCAGCGACCCACCCAGUGUGAUUCGCAGAGGGAAAGGAGCUGGAAUAAGGACCGUGAAUGGGGCGGAUGUGGUUCGUCCUGGGAGAGAGCUAAAGCUUGUGCGGGUCGCAAAUAGCUUUACACUGCAGGAAACUGCUCUUCCAAUGGCCCUGGCUGGGUCCUUCCACACCAUCCCUCUGCCCUAGACCUUUGUCCCCGUUCAGAGCCAUCAGAGAUUCUAGGAGAGCCGUCAACAACCGCAUCUCUUCGGAACUUGGAAACUCUAGGUUCAAGAUCUCCGUGGAGAAUGAAUGAAAGGCACAGUCGCCUGACCCAGGCAUCAGGCUUGCCCUGCACAUCAAGUCCUUCCCCUACUGGAUGGAACUCUGUGGCAAUCGCUCCUUAUUCUGAUGGUUCACUCUGUCAGAUAUCCUCGAUAUUUGGGGAUAGUAGUUCAAAAACAGCCGGGGAGGAAAACGGGCUGAAAGACUCCAGCGUUGGAUGUAGAAUUGACAGCGAGACAUACACCUCCUCUCUAAGCCCAGAGAAAAGCUCAAGCUGGGGUUCUCUGUCUCUAGCAGCAUGAUCUUCAAAAUGCAUCAUUGAUUUCUUUCUGUCUUCUGGGAAAUGCAAUGCAGGUGAACUCCUUUUCAUCUUAGCAAAAAAGUUGCAAUCAGCACCCCCUAGAUGGAAGGAAUAUCCUGUCUUAAUGGGAGUCCAUAGAGGCUGCAGGCUGCUCCCCUACAGAGACUGACAUCAAGGAGGAAAUCCGUGGUGCUUCAGGAUAUUGUGAAUUUGGGCCUCUGAAAGCAGAAUUCUGAUUUAACAGUAUAAUGGAAUUCAUGAACGUCAUGAUGCUAAUUUGAACAAACAAGCAGCCUUGUGAGAGGAAUGUUUUUCCUCAAGUCUGAAGAACACCAGGAGAAUCUUUCUGGAUGGAGUUACCAGGAAUCCUCUGCUGAGGAAAGUGAAAGGGAAGAUGCAAUUUCUCCUGGGAAGGGGGGAUGCUGAUGUAGAGGGUGACAAGUAAUAUGCCAUGAAGGAUUCAGUCACCUGGUUAGAUUUAGAGUUAGAGUUAUGGUUAAGGAAGAAGGAAGGAAAAAAGGGAGAAGAGGAAGAAAGGAAGCAAGAAAAGAUAAAAUUUAUUCUGAGAUAAAAUUUGUGAAUUUUGCUAAA
Molecule: small RNA, 2277 nt
Filed under: Pongo abelii (Sumatran orangutan)
Lineage: Eukaryota; Metazoa; Chordata; Mammalia; Primates; Hominidae
Description: sense overlapping
Source: RNAcentral